RNAcentral lists this ribosomal RNA (433 nucleotides) under uncultured bacterium. RNAcentral describes it as "partial 16S ribosomal RNA". It matches the Rfam family "Bacterial small subunit ribosomal RNA", at positions 29 to 507 of the family's 1533-position model. The record is from RNAcentral.
AACGAACGCUGGCGGCAUGCCUAACACAUGCAAGUCGAACGAGACCUUCGGGUCUAGUGGCGCACGGGUGCGUAACGCGUGGGAACCUGCCCUUAGGUUCGGAAUAACUCCCCGAAAGGGGUGCUAAUACCGGAUAAUGUCUUCGGACCAAAGAUUUAUCGCCUUUGGAUGGGCCCGCGUUGGAUUAGCUAGUUGGUAGGGUAAAAGCCUACCAAGGCGAUGAUUCAUAGCUGGUCUGAGAGGAUGAUCAGCCACACUGGGACUGAGACACGGCCCAGACUCCUACGGGAGGCAGCAGUGGGGAAUAUUGGACAAUGGGCGAAAGCCUGAUCCAGCAAUGCCGCGUGAGUGAUGAAGGCCUUAGGGUUGUAAAGCUCUUUUACCCGGGAUGAUAAUGACAGUACCGGGAGAAUAAGCUCCGGCUAACUCCGUG